This 370-nucleotide ribosomal RNA is filed under the name uncultured cyanobacterium. RNAcentral describes it as "bacterial SSU rRNA". It matches the Rfam family "Bacterial small subunit ribosomal RNA", at positions 385 to 770 of the family's 1533-position model. The record is from RNAcentral. Lineage: Bacteria; Bacillati; Cyanobacteriota.
GACGGAGCAAUACCGCGUGCGGGACGAAGGCUUUUGGGUCGUAAACCGCUUUUGUUAGGGAAGAAUAACUGACGGUACCUAACGAAUCAGCAUCGGCUAACUCCGUGCCAGCAGCCGCGGUAAUACGGAGGAUGCAAGCGUUAUCCGGAUUUAUUGGGCGUAAAGCGUCCGCAGGUGGUUGAUCAAGUCUGCUGUCAAAGCGUGGGGCUUAACCCCAUACAGGCAGUGGAAACUGGUGAACUAGAGUACGGUAGGGGUAGCGGGAAUUCCCAGUGUAGCGGUGAAAUGCGUAGAUAUUGGGAAGAACACCAGCGGCGAAGGCGCGCUACUGGGCCGAAACUGACACUCAUGGACGAAAGCUAGGGGAGCG